CUUAACAGCCAACCCAUCAGACCGUUUGGAAAGUAGUCUGUUAUCUUUGGGAGUGAGAAGGUUCCCGGCCACCACCGCAUCGGUUAUAUCAUUCUUCAUCACAGAGUCCUCAACGGUAAGAGGACAAGUAUGGGAUAAGAAUGAUGGGCACCAUAUGUUGUCUUGAGAAGGCAUGGCUACCUCUUUACCAAAGUUCAAGUCAAAACGACGGUCGGAUGGGCCAGACAUUCUUAGAAAUGAUGAAGGAGAAAUGAGGUGCAAUAAAUCUCUGAAGUAGGGGGAAAAUUCCUACAAGCAAUAACUCUCUGAAUGUACUUCUUGCACACAAUUGGUGCCCUUAUAAAAGAAAAGCCAACAGGGCCGUUGGUUCAAAAAUCGAAGAGGCACCACUCUCCGGAUUCUGAGGAGACACCACUUUCCACACACAACAUCAGCUCCUCGGGUACCACAGAUAACUUUGCCAAAGAUCUCUAACAAAGUUUAGACACAUAAAUUUUGAAGGUCCAGCUACCCUACUAUUACCCACAUGGGUAAAGGAACAGCACCACUGCUUGAUAACUAGAAAGUCCCAAUGUGUGUCAACCUUCGUGUUCCGUGGCAAGGCAGAAUGGCAAAAAUGUCCAACCUUUACUCACAUUCGAGAAAACACUCCCAACAAGAUUGCUUGCUCAAAAAUCGAAGAGGCACAGCUUUCCGAAUCUCGAAAGCCAAACUCCUAACAUGAUUACGUGCUCAAAAAUCAAAGAGGCACCGCCCUCCAAAUCUCGAGAGCCAGACUCCCAACAGGAUUACUUUAUCAAAAAUCGAAGGGACACUGCUCUCCGAAUCUCAAAAGCCAGACUCUCAACAUGAUUACUUUCUCAAAAAUCGAGAGACACUACUAUCCGAAUCUCAAGAGUCAGACUCCCAACAGGAUUACUUUAUCAAAAAUCGAAUAGACACUACUCUCCGAAUCUCGAGAGCCAGACUCCCAACAGAAUUACUUUCUCAAAAAUCGAAGAGACACUGCUCUCCGAAUCUCAAGAGUCAGACUUCCAAUAGGAUUGCUUUCUUAAAAAUCGAAGAGGCACCGCUAUCUGAAUUUUGAGAGCCAAACUUCUAACAGGAUUACGUGCUCAAAAAUCAAAAAGGCAUCGCCCUCCGAAUCUCGAGAGCCAGAUUCCCAAUAGGAUUACUUUCUCAAAAAUCGAAGAGAUACUGCUCUUCGAAUCUCAAGAGUCAGACUCCCAACAGGAUUGCUUUCUCAAAAAUUGAAGAGACACCGUUAUCUGAAUCUCGAGAGCCAGAUCCCCGACAGGAUUGCUUGUUCGAAAACCGAAGAGGCACCGCUCUUCGAACUUCGAGAGCCAGAU
This 1352-nucleotide long non-coding RNA is filed under the name Malus domestica (apple). RNAcentral's name for it is "long non-coding RNA (MDOM_LNC004063)". The record is from RNAcentral. Lineage: Eukaryota; Viridiplantae; Streptophyta; Magnoliopsida; Rosales; Rosaceae.